RNAcentral lists this ribosomal RNA (207 nucleotides) under uncultured bacterium. RNAcentral's name for it is "partial 16S ribosomal RNA". It matches the Rfam family "Bacterial small subunit ribosomal RNA", at positions 568 to 774 of the family's 1533-position model. The record is from RNAcentral.
UGCGUAGGUGGUGAGGUAAGUCGGAUGUGAAAUCUCCGGGCUCAACCCGGAAAUGGCAUUGGAAACUACCUUGCUGGAGGAUUUGAGGGGGGAUUGGAAUACUUGGUGUAGCAGUGAAAUGCGUAGAUAUCAAGUGGAACACCAGUGGCGAAGGCGAAUCCCUGGAAAAUACCUGACACUGAGGCACGAAAGCUAGGGGAGCAAACA